UACAGAGGGGGCGAGCGUUGUUCGGAAUUACUGGGCGUAAAGGGCGCGUAGGCGGCGGGGUAAGUCGGGUGUGAAAUCUCAGGGCUCAACCCUGAAACUGCACUUGAUACUGCUCUGCUUGAGGACUGGAGAGGAGACUGGAAUUCACGGUGUAGCAGUGAAAUGCGUAGAUAUCGUGAGGAAGACCAGUGGCGAAGGCGGGUCUCUGGACAGUUCCUGACGCUGAGGCGCGAAGGCCAGGGGAGCAAACGGG
Molecule: ribosomal RNA, 253 nt
Filed under: uncultured bacterium
Lineage: Bacteria
Description: partial 16S ribosomal RNA
Rfam family: Bacterial small subunit ribosomal RNA
Source: RNAcentral